CCUACGGGUGGCAGCAGUGGGGGAUAUUGCACAAUGGGGGCAACCCUGAUGCAGCGACGCCGCGUGUGGGAAGACGGUCCUCUGGAUUGUAAACCCCUGUCCCCAGGGACGAAGAUGACGGUACCUGGGGAGGAAGCUCCGGCUAACCACUUGCCCGCCGCCGCGGUAAUACGUAGGGAGCGAGCGUUGUCCGGAAUUACUGGGGGUAAAGGGAGCGGAGGCGGGGAUGCAAGUUGGGUGUCAAAACUACCGGCUCAACUGGGAGUCGCACUCAAAACUGCAGCUCUUGAGUGAAGUAGAGGCAGGCGGAAUUCCUAGUGUAGCGGUGAAAUGCGUAGAUAUUAGGAGGAACACCAGUGGCGAAGGCGGCCUGCUGGGCUUUAACUGACACUGAAGCACGAAAGCGUGGGGAUCAAACAGGAUUAGAUACCCUUGUAGUC
Molecule: ribosomal RNA, 440 nt
Filed under: uncultured bacterium
Lineage: Bacteria
Description: partial 16S ribosomal RNA
Rfam family: Bacterial small subunit ribosomal RNA
Source: RNAcentral